This 572-nucleotide long non-coding RNA is filed under the name Cricetulus griseus (Chinese hamster). RNAcentral's name for it is "lncRNA (ENSCGRG00015028998.1)". The record is from RNAcentral. Lineage: Eukaryota; Metazoa; Chordata; Mammalia; Rodentia; Cricetidae.
ACCCACAGAGAUCCGCUUGCUUCUGCCUCCUUCCUGAGUGCUGGGAUUAAAGUUAUUAUGACUAUUUAUAGAUGAUAGCCAAAACCAAGGUGAUACAUCUGGAAGUCACAAAAUGGCAAAGACUGCCUGCACUUUCCAGAAGCCAGGAGAGUAGUGCGGAAUGGAUUCUCCCUCUUAGAGGCACCGAUCUUGCUGGCAUCCAUCCUGAUUGCGGACUUCUGCCUACCACACCUCUGAGACAGUGAAUUGUGUUAUUUAAGCCAUUAAUCUGUGCUAUUCAUAAUGGACACCCCAGAGAACGCUCAGCUCUACUACACGUGGUGGACUGGGCUUAUCUUUUUUUCUUUUAUUUUUGAGAUUAUAAUAUAAUUACAGCGUUUUUCCCUUUCUUUCCCCACCCAUUACUUUUCUCUUGAGUCCUGGCUGACUUUAUGACUUCUGGCGCAGAGUGUGGGAGACAUGAUUACCUGCCAGACCUGGGCCAGAGUCUUAUGAUGCUUAGCAGCUUCCGUUUAGAUCCUCUGAGAAACCAUCUGCCAUGCUGUAAGGAAGUCUAGACUGUUCUGCUGGUG